AUGCUUCAAGUGCCUAGAGAAGGGGCACUUCCUGAAGGACUGCACGAACAAGGUUGUGUGCCUCUGAUGUGGGUUGCCCGGACAUGUCGCCAGUCAAUGCAAGAGGCCGCGCAGCCCGUCGUCGGUGGAGGAGCUCAGGCGCGAUGCCGCUGCCAAGGUGGCCAGAGGCGCUUCGGGCUCGCGUGUGGGGGCAUGCUCGGGUCCGUCAAGGCCGAGCCUAUCGGCGCCGCGCGCGCUGCCGCCUCCUUCGUCGUCGCCUUCGGGCGUCGCGGCGCCGGCGGAUUGGCCCCGUCCGGCGGGUCCUCGAUUGGUGGUCGCGCCUAA
RNAcentral lists this ribosomal RNA (324 nucleotides) under Triticum aestivum (bread wheat). Its description in RNAcentral is "partial small subunit ribosomal RNA". The record is from RNAcentral. Lineage: Eukaryota; Viridiplantae; Streptophyta; Magnoliopsida; Poales; Poaceae.